AACCAUUCUCACCUGCGGCUAGACCUGCGGAAGGAUCAUUAAAAAGAGUGUGUACCCCUCUGUAAAAUGAGUGGGUUACCUCCCGUCCUUUGUUGACCUCUUAGGAGGUUAUUUUGAACUUUCUGCUUCGGUGGGGUUAAACCUACCGGAACACCCUCAAAUUCUUAUCAUUUAAAAAUUGUUCAGUCUGAUUUUUGUUAAUAAAAACAAAAAACUUUUAGCAACGGAUCUCAGAUCGGA
RNAcentral lists this unclassified non-coding RNA (240 nucleotides) under soil metagenome. RNAcentral describes it as "partial contains 5.8S ribosomal RNA, internal transcribed spacer 2, and large subunit ribosomal RNA". The record is from RNAcentral.